Heterocephalus glaber (naked mole-rat) is the source of this 1652-nucleotide long non-coding RNA. The record is from Ensembl. NCBI's taxonomy places the organism in Eukaryota, Metazoa, Chordata, Mammalia, Rodentia, Bathyergidae.
GGCUUAGCUAUUAUGAAUCAUCAUGCUGUAAACAUGGUCAUUCUGGAGCAUAUUGUUUAAUUCACACAUAUCAAUGUCUUCAAAAAUCUUCAGUAAAAUAUAAAUGAAGUCAACAUCAUAUCAAAAAGAUCAUACAUCAUGAUCAGAUCCUUUGUGUUAUGAAAGCCCCACGUGUGCAUUUCUCUAAAUGAAAGUCUCCUGAACUUAAACCCAUGGACAUUUUAAAGAAAAUGCAGUAAGCCAAUGCUUCCUUGGCUAAAAACGUGUCUGUGCUCUGCAAACAAUGAACAGAACCCAGGAAGGGAGAUGCAGACCGCCUGCUGAGCCAGUCCUAGUUCUCUUCCCUGGAAAUCUUGUCCUUGCACAGAACUUCUGGAAACCAAUAAAAGAAAACUAAUGUGCUACCCAGAGCAGAGAAAAUGGAAAUCUGCUGAGUUAAUAUUGUGGGUCAUAAAAGUCACUCAAAGAGAAUUCUUUCAAUAAGGUGCCUACCAUAGUGGUUAUAUAAUUCUUCCAUGAAACUUACUUUUCUCUUUCUGAAAAGAAGUUUUGUUUUUUCUCUCAAAGAAUAAUGGUACUGCUUAACAUCCCCAGAACACAAUGUGAAUGAGCUUUUAAAAUUUUAUUCUAAUUACAAGAGAAAUAUAUUCUGAGUAUAGAAGAUGAGGAACAUAGAGAAAACCCUGAAGGAAUCAAACAACCCUAUUGUGAGAUAAAACUCAGGUAACAUUUUGGGAUAUUUAACAAUGUCUAUUGCCUUGACGCCAAAAAGUCGGCAUUAUUGUCGAACAUUAUUAUUAUUAAAGUUUGGAUGUAUUUCAUUUGAAUGAUGGCUAUAAAUAAAUUUUAAGCAGAAAGCAAAAAUGACUUUUCUUUUGAUUCCAGGGCCUUCUCAUUAAACUACAUCCUCAAUCCUUUCUUGUUUUCUUAUUUUGAGUCAGAGCCUUGCUAAACUGCCAUGCUGUUUAAAUUGGACUCAAAACAUGCAAUCCUCCUGCCUUACCCUUCCAAAAUAUUGGAAUUACAGGCAUGCAUUGGAAUCACAGGCAUUUAAAUUUUAAAACAGAUACAGCAACACCUGUAAAGAACAGUUGGGCAUUAUGCUCUUGAAAUUUUUGAAAAACUAGAUGCUUAGUUAAUGCUUCCUUUACUUAAAAUAUUUUAGUCUCUGUGUUGGAAUUGCCCUCAAAACUGGUAUAUGAGCCAAAACACAAAAGCAUCUUGUCAUUUUAUAGCCUAAAUGCUUCUUUAAAACCAGUUCUUUUUCUUGUCCUUCCCUACUCCCUCUUUUACAUAUUUGAUUUGUUUUUCAGGUCAUCUUCACCUGGAGAAGCAAAGCAGAGCUAUUUUCAGAUCAGUUGUGAAGAUAGGCUCAGCUUCAGCUAUUUCUACUGAUGGGAAAUGCUAUCUUGCAUAAAUAUUCCAUAAUUAUAUGCUAGUCAUUGUAUCCAGACUGUGCAGUAUGUCUGUUCCUCUCACAUUUGCAGAAGAGCAGCUCAGCAGCUACAAAACUGACAAAUUCAAAAUGUAGUUUUUAGUAACCUAAUGAUGGAGGUAAACUUUUCACCUUCAGCUUUUUCUCCUUUGGAGGUUAGUCAUUUCAAGCACAGAAGUUGCAAGAUUUCUUUGGAAGACUGAAGAUGCAGGGAAGU